CGGGAUUGCCUUAGUAACGGCGAGUGAAGCGGCAAAAGCUCAAAUUUGAAAUCUGGUACCUUCGGUGCCCGAGUUGUAAUUUGGAGAGGGCAACUUUGGGGCCGUUCCUUGUCUAUGUUCCUUGGAACAGGACGUCAUAGAGGGUGAGAAUCCCGUGUGGCGAGGAGUGCGGUUCUUUGUAAAGUGCCUUCGAAGAGUCGAGUUGUUUGGGAAUGCAGCUCUAAGUGGGUGGUAAAUUCCAUCUAAAGCUAAAUAUUGGCGAGAGACCGAUAGCGAACAAGUACAGUGAUGGAAAGAUGAAAAGAACUUUGAAAAGAGAGUGAAAAAGUACGUGAAAUUGUUGAAAGGGAAGGGCAUUUGAUCAGACAUGGUGUUUUGUGCCCUCUGCUCCUUGUGGGUAGGGGAAUCUCGCAUUUCACUGGGCCAGCAUCAGUUUUGGUGGCAGGAUAAAUCCAUAGGAAUGUAGCUUGCCUCGGUAAGUAUUAUAGCCUGUGGGAAUACUGCCAGCUGGGACUGAGGACUGCGACGUAAGUCAAGGAUGCUGGCAUAAUGGUUAUAUGCCGCCCGUCUUGAAACACGGACCUCCUGUGUGAAGUGA
This 598-nucleotide ribosomal RNA is filed under the name Saccharomyces cerevisiae (brewer's yeast). RNAcentral describes it as "eukaryotic LSU rRNA". It matches the Rfam family "Eukaryotic large subunit ribosomal RNA", at positions 70 to 664 of the family's 3401-position model. Lineage: Eukaryota; Fungi; Ascomycota; Saccharomycetes; Saccharomycetales; Saccharomycetaceae. The record is from RNAcentral.